Delphinapterus leucas (beluga whale) is the source of this 1348-nucleotide non-coding RNA. NCBI's taxonomy places the organism in Eukaryota, Metazoa, Chordata, Mammalia, Artiodactyla, Monodontidae. The record is from RefSeq and is a predicted model, not a curated record.
CACUGCGUGACGUCAAGCAGCCGGCAUGCCUCUUUCACGUGAUCGCUAAGGGGUUUCUCAAUGGAAGGGGCCGGGAGGCGGGGCUAGAGCGCGUGCCCGGAGGGUAGUGGGUCACCAGGUCCUCGCACUUAGUCCUCCCUCCCGGAGGGCUGCACCGGGUGCCGCCCGGGCCCGCGCAGACAUGGGGAUUCGAACUUCACGCUCCCGGCCCCGACCACGUGAGAAACGACCUGGAUGCCCGGAGCUUAAGGAUGGAGGACACCACUGACCUCGGGGGAAACAAAAACAGGCCUCAUUUUCCAGGACCGGAAGACCCACCGUGUCUCUCCCCUCCCAGGGCCUUGCUUCAGCCUGGUCCUCAAGAAUGAAAACUUAUUUAUUGGUGUAGAGGAAACUGGUCACCAGUGGAGGAAAGAGGCCACUUGGAGAGGUGUGUCAGUUACCCUCAGAAGCUCCUCACCCUGGCAACCUGUCUACCUCUCCCUUCAACGCACAAAGUGGGCCCUCCACCCAUGACCUCUGCCCGAUCACAUGGACACAAGAUGGAAGAGGGAUGCAAAAGGAGAUCUGGUGCUUGAAGAUGCCUGGUCUAGAGCUAUAUUACAAAAUUCAAAUCUAGCCUGAUUCCGGUGAUUUAAUAGUAACAAGAAGGAAAUAUUUUUAAAAGCUCUGCAUUGUGUUAGACCUAGAUAAUAGUGGAAGCACUUUUAAUUUUGUUUAAAGGUACUAUAAACUUCUUCAGAAGGGAAGUCAAAUUAUAAUUGCCCAUUGCAAAAAUGAAGACUGCUGGGAUUUUAUGUUUUGAAAAACCCAAAGAGGCAGGAGAAGAAUUUUAAAAUGUUCAUUUUGAGUUACAUCUCAAAUUUAUGUCAUAAAUAUAAUUAAUCAACUGAGUACCUCCUACUCAUACCACUUUAUGACAUUCCACAAUUUUCUUAAACAAGUUUCACACUUAGACAUCUAUACAAAUAGCCGGCUAUCAUUUAGAUGAGUGAAGGUUAUCUCUGUAACAUGAAAAUAACACACGAAAGGGAAUCUGGCACCUAAAUACAGAGCAGAGGUGGUUAUGGCUUGUCUGUCUUGGCACUUUCACCCCUGUUAAUCCCAACUAACCAAAAGCUCUUUCCUUAGUUCAAACCUUGAAUAUUCAGUUUUCUUAUCAUUUUACAGAGAACAUCUUAAUUUUAAAAGUACUUCUGGGUCCUAGGUAAUGGUUCCAUCAUUUUCUUUUAGUAAGAACUGAUUUUCUUAUUUGCAAAUGAAGCAACUUCAAAAAAGGAUUAAUCUCCGGAAUUUACAAGCAUCUCAUGCAUCUCAAUACCAAAAAAACAAACAACCCAAUCCAAAA